This 253-nucleotide ribosomal RNA is filed under the name uncultured bacterium. Its description in RNAcentral is "partial 16S ribosomal RNA". It matches the Rfam family "Bacterial small subunit ribosomal RNA", at positions 524 to 776 of the family's 1533-position model. The record is from RNAcentral.
UACGUAGGGUCCGAGCGUUGUCCGGAAUUAUUGGGCGUAAAGGGCUCGUAGGCGGUUUGUCGCGUCGGGAGUGAAAACUCAGGGCUUAACUCUGAGCUUGCUUUCGAUACGGGCAGACUUGAGGCAUGCAGGGGAGAACGGAAUUCCUGGUGUAGCGGUGAAAUGCGCAGAUAUCAGGAGGAACACCGGUGGCGAAGGCGGUUCUCUGGGCAUGUUCUGACGCUGAGGAGCGAAAGUGUGGGGAGCGAACAGG